UACUACUGCCAUGUCACCCUGAAUGUGCCCGAUCCCGUCUAAUCUCGGAAGCUAAGCAGGUUCAGGCCUGGUUAGUACUUGGAUGAGAGACCACAUAGGACUACUAGAUGCUGUAGGUG
This 119-nucleotide ribosomal RNA is filed under the name Pteropus alecto (black flying fox). Lineage: Eukaryota; Metazoa; Chordata; Mammalia; Chiroptera; Pteropodidae. The record is from RNAcentral.